AGAACCUCCCCCUCCUUGACGUGUAAUUGGCGUUGAGAAUUACGAGCGGCAAACGGGGAGUAACACAUGGUAACCUACCUCGAGACGGGGAUAGCCCGCCGAAAGGCGGAUUAAUACCCGAGGACAUGCGGGGACAUAAGUCAUUCGCAUGUAAAGCUCGGCGCUCGGAGAGGGGCCUAUGUCUGAUUAGCUAGUUGGUAGGGUAACGGCCUACCAAGGCUUUGAUCAGUAGCAGGCGUGAGAGCGUGACCUGCCUCACUGGGACUGAGACACUGCCCAGACACCUACGGGUGGCUGCAGUCAAGAAUCUUCCGCAAUGGGCGAAAGCCCGACGGAGCGACGCCGCGUGUAGGAUGAAGGCCUUCGGGUCGUAAACUGCUUUAUGGGGACGAAUUCGGACGGUACCCCAAGAAUAAGAG
This 419-nucleotide ribosomal RNA is filed under the name uncultured beta proteobacterium. RNAcentral's name for it is "bacterial SSU rRNA". It matches the Rfam family "Bacterial small subunit ribosomal RNA", at positions 71 to 492 of the family's 1533-position model. The record is from RNAcentral. Lineage: Bacteria; Pseudomonadati; Pseudomonadota; Betaproteobacteria.